UGGCGGCGUGCCUAAUACAUGCAAGUCGAGCGGACAGAAGGGAGCUUGCUCCCGGAUGUUAGCGGCGGACGGGUGAGUAACACGUGGGUAACCUGCCUGUAAGACUGGGAUAACUCCGGGAAACCGGAGCUAAUACCGGAUAGUUCCUUGAACCGCAUGGUUCAAGGAUGAAAGACGGUUUCGGCUGUCACUUACAGAUGGACCCGCGGCGCAUUAGCUAGUUGGUGAGGUAACGGCUCACCAAGGCGACGAUGCGUAGCCGACCUGAGAGGGUGAUCGGCCACACUGGGACUGAGACACGGCCCAGACUCCUACGGGAGGCAGCAGUAGGGAAUCUUCCGCAAUGGACGAAAGUCUGACGGAGCAACGCCGCGUGAGUGAUGAAGGUUUUCGGAUCGUAAAGCUCUGUUGUUAGGGAAGAACAAGUGCAAGAGUAACUGCUUGCACCUUGACGGUACCUAACCAGAAAGCCACGGCUAACUACGUGCCAGCAGCCGCGGUAAUACGUA
Molecule: ribosomal RNA, 509 nt
Filed under: marine sediment bacterium ISA-7198
Lineage: Bacteria
Description: bacterial SSU rRNA
Rfam family: Bacterial small subunit ribosomal RNA
Source: RNAcentral